Molecule: ribosomal RNA, 435 nt
Filed under: uncultured bacterium
Lineage: Bacteria
Description: bacterial SSU rRNA
Rfam family: Bacterial small subunit ribosomal RNA
Source: RNAcentral
UGAGGAAUAUUGGUCAAUGGUCGGGAGACUGAACCAGCCAAGCCGCGUGAGGGAUGAAGGUACAGAGUAUCGUAAACCUCUUUUGUCAGGGAACAAAAGGCGCCACGUGUGGCGCUCCGAGUGUACCUGAAGAAAAAUGCAUCGGCUAACUCCGUGCCAGCAGCCGCGGUAAUACGGAGGAUGCGAGCGUUAUCCGGAUUUAUUGGGUUUAAAGGGUGCGUAGGCGGCGAGUUAAGUCAGCGGUAAAAUGCCCGGGGCUCAACCCCGGCCCAGCCGUUGAAACUGGCUUGCUUGAGUUGGAGAGAAGUAGGCGGAAUGCGCGGUGUAGCGGUGAAAUGCUUAGAUAUCGCGCAGAACUCCGAUUGCGAAGGCAGCAUACCGGCGCUCAACUGACGCUCAGGCACGAAAGCGCGGGUAUCGAACAGAUUAGAUACC